GCAUGUAGGUGGUUCAUUAAGUCAGAUGUGAAAGCCCGGGGCUCAACCUCGGAACUGCAUUUGAAACUGGUGAACUAGAGUACUGUAGAGGGGGGUAGAAUUUCAGGUGUAGCGGUGAAAUGCGUAGAGAUCUGAAGGAAUACCAGUGGCGAAGGCGGCCCCCUGGACAGAUACUGACACUCAGAUGCGAAAGCGUGGGGAGCAAACAGGAUUAGAUACCCUGGUAGUCCACGCCGUAAACGAUGUCUACUUGGAGGUUGUGGCCUUGAGCCGUGGCUUUCGGAGCUAACGCGUUAAGUAGACCGCCUGGGGAGUACGGUCGCAAGAUUAAAACUCAAAUGAAUUGACGGGGGCCCGCACAAGCGGUGGAGCAUGUGGUUUAAUUCGAUGCAACGCGAAGAACCUUACCUACUCUUGACAUCCAGAGAAGCCAGCGGAGACGCAGGUGUGCCUUCGGGAGCUCUGAGACAGGUGCUGCAUG
RNAcentral lists this ribosomal RNA (481 nucleotides) under uncultured bacterium. RNAcentral describes it as "bacterial SSU rRNA". It matches the Rfam family "Bacterial small subunit ribosomal RNA", at positions 567 to 1047 of the family's 1533-position model. The record is from RNAcentral.